CCGAGUUAUACAACUCAUCAACCCAUGUGAACAUACCUACUGUUGCUUCGGCGGGAUGCACGGCGCCUCGUGUGACACGGAUCAGGCGCCCCCGCCAUAGGAACCCUAACUCUUGUUUUAUAUGGAAUUUUCUGAGUAGUACAAAUAAAUUA
RNAcentral lists this unclassified non-coding RNA (152 nucleotides) under soil metagenome. Its description in RNAcentral is "partial internal transcribed spacer 1". The record is from RNAcentral.